Molecule: ribosomal RNA, 252 nt
Filed under: uncultured bacterium
Lineage: Bacteria
Description: partial 16S ribosomal RNA
Rfam family: Bacterial small subunit ribosomal RNA
Source: RNAcentral
UACGUAGGGUGCAAGCGUUAAUCGGAAUACUGGGCGUAAAGCGUGCGCAGGCGGUGAUGUAAGACAGUUGUGAAAUCCCCGGGCUCAACCUGGGAACUGCAUCUGUGACUGCAUCGCUGGAGUGCGGCAGAGGGACUGGAAGUUCAUGGUGUAGCAGUGAAAUGCGUAGAGAUCAUGAGGAAGACCAGUGGCGAAGGCGGGUCUCUGGACAGUUCCUGACACUGAGACACGAAGGCCAGGGGAGCAAACGGG